CCGCUUGCCUCGCCCAGCGCAGCCCCGGCCGCUGGGCGCACCCGUCCCGUUCGUCCCCGGACGUUGCUCUCUACCCCGGGAACGUCGAGACUGGAGCGCCCGAACUGAGCCACCUUCGCGGACCCCGAGAGCGGCGGCGCGACUCACCGCGGAGGCGCCCGGACGCGUCAAGCCCAGCCCAAUAGGAAGCACCUGAUCCACACUCUUUCUAGCCCCAGGGAUGCUCAGGAAAGCAGCCUUUCUUUAGGGCUGUCAUCUGUUCUGGGGAUCUGUUGCUGUUUCUUGGGCCCACAGAAUACACUCCACACCUCGGGACUCCAUAAUAUUGGACAAGGCUGGAAGGCCCAUUUGGCUCCUGCAGCCUCUUAUGCAGGAGGACCUCCUGAGGCUUCGGGCAGGAGCUGGUGCACACCUGGAGGAGAGUGCUGGUGAAUGGCAGGUGUGUGCCUCAGUGUCCUUGCUGCCAGGGUGUCAGCCCUGCUUCACCACUGGCCGUUUGUCUCUGUCCCCUCCACUGGCCUCUUGAAGCACAGAGACCCUCCGGGUACUUUCCUUCCUCUGGGCUUCCACUCAUGCUAUUCCCUGCUCCCUUUUUCUACCUGGAGACCCCCAUUCCUCCUCCUCCUCUGCUGCCCUCACCUCCACCUGGGCCCUCCCAGCUCCCGGGAGAUGGCUGAACCCCACUCCCCACCCGCUAGUCAUCCUCUUCAGCGGUCCUCCCAGAGCUGUCCUCAGCAUGGCAGCCUCCACAGCCCCUGGGUGUCACCCCCGGUUUCGUGUCUGCCUCGGACUCCAGACCUGCCCCUCCCAGGCUGGCCCAGAUGGAUCCUCUACAGUGACUAACCCAAACCAGCACCAGGCAGGGACCCAAUAAACCUUUGUGAAUGGAGUAAAAAAAAAAAAAAAAAAAAAAAAAAAAAAA
This 922-nucleotide long non-coding RNA is filed under the name Homo sapiens (human). RNAcentral's name for it is "DIO3 opposite strand upstream RNA, transcript variant 4 (DIO3OS)". The stretch from base 31 to 104 matches the Rfam family "mir-1247 microRNA precursor family". The record is from RNAcentral. Lineage: Eukaryota; Metazoa; Chordata; Mammalia; Primates; Hominidae.